RNAcentral lists this long non-coding RNA (309 nucleotides) under Mus musculus (house mouse). RNAcentral describes it as "long non-coding RNA chr11:77296528-77296837". The record is from RNAcentral. Lineage: Eukaryota; Metazoa; Chordata; Mammalia; Rodentia; Muridae.
CCAGCCUGGUUUACAGCCUGGUUUCAGGUGAUCUGACAUCCCUUUCUGGCCUGCAAGGGGACCCACACACAAACACAGCAUGCAUUUGCAAAGACAUGUAGACAUAUAUAUAAAUAAAAAUAAACUGGGCUGGAGAGAUGGCUCAUCGGUAAAGAGCACUGACUGUUCUUCCAGAGGUCCUGAGUUCAAUUCCUAGCAACCACAUGGUGGCUCACAACCAUCUGUAGUAAGAUCCGAUACCCUCUUCUGGUGUGUCUGAAGACAGCAAUGUACUCACAUAAAAUAAAUUAAUAAAAAAAAAAAUCUUUG